UGCUUGUGGUGAUCAUGGAUUAACCUUGGAGAUCAAUCAAGCAUGGGGAGAGUCAACAAUAGUGAGAGACAUUCUCUCUUUUUUACACCACAGUUUUCUAGAUGUAGAUUUUGUUGGAGAAUCAGGGGAUCUACAAAUGAUUCAAGGUGGGGUAAUAGCUCAGUUCCCCUAUUUAUUUAUUGAUAUGUUUUUUCUUUGAACACUGACUAGUAUUGAAAGGAUGGAUUUCAAGAGAAUGGGGAGGGACUGGGCCAGAUCUAUUCAGACACCAUGAAACCAGCUGUAC
This 286-nucleotide long non-coding RNA is filed under the name Physcomitrium patens. RNAcentral describes it as "long non-coding RNA (PPAT_LNC012035)". The record is from RNAcentral. Lineage: Eukaryota; Viridiplantae; Streptophyta; Bryopsida; Funariales; Funariaceae.